RNAcentral lists this ribosomal RNA (507 nucleotides) under uncultured bacterium. Its description in RNAcentral is "partial 16S ribosomal RNA". It matches the Rfam family "Bacterial small subunit ribosomal RNA", at positions 29 to 523 of the family's 1533-position model. The record is from RNAcentral.
AUUGAACGCUGGCGGCAGGCCUAACACAUGCAAGUCGGACGGUAGCACAGAGGAGCUUGCUCCUCGGGUGACGAGUGGCGGACGGGUGAGUAAUGUCUGGGGAUCUGCCCGAUAGAGGGGGAUAACCACUGGAAACGGUGGCUAAUACCGCAUAACGUCGCAAGACCAAAGAGGGGGACCUUCGGGCCUCUCACUAUCGGAUGAACCCAGAUGGGAUCUAGCUAGUAGGCGGGGUAACGGCCCGCCUAGGCGACGAUCCCUAGCUGGUCGGAGAGGAUGAGCAGCCACGCUGGGACGGAGACACGGUCCAGACUCCUACGGGAGGCAGCAGUGGGGAAUAUUGCACAAUGGGCGCAAGCCUGAUGCAGCCGUGCCGCGUGUAUGAAGGAGGCCUUCGGGUUGUAAAGUACUUUCAGCGGGGAGGAAGGCGAUGUGGUUAAUAACCGCGUCGAUUGACGUUACCCGCAGAAGAAGCACCGGCGAACUCCGUGCCAGCCGCCGCGGUAA